Molecule: unclassified non-coding RNA, 348 nt
Filed under: soil metagenome
Description: partial contains 5.8S ribosomal RNA, internal transcribed spacer 2, and large subunit ribosomal RNA
Rfam family: 5.8S ribosomal RNA (bases 1-120)
Source: RNAcentral
GAUGAAGGACGCAGCAAAAUGCGAUAAGUAAUGUGAAUUGCAGAAUUCAGUGAAUCAUCGAAUCUUUGAACGCACAUUGCGCCCGCUGGUAUUCCGGCGGGCAUGCCUGUUCGAGCGUCAUUUCAACCCUCAAGCCCCCGGGUUUGGUGUUGGGGAUCGGCUCUGCCCUUCUGGGCGGUGCCGCCCCCGAAAUACAUUGGCGGUCUCGCUGCAGCCUCCAUUGCGUAGUAGCUAACACCUCGCAACUGGAACGCGGCGCGGCCAUGCCGUAAAACCCCAACUUCUGAAUGUUGACCUCGGAUCAGGUAGGAAUACCCGCUGAACUUAAGCAUAUCAAUAAGCGGAGGA